AGAAUCAACGCUGGCGGCGUGCCUAACACAUGCAAGUCGCACGAGAAAGGGUAGCAAUACCUGAGUAAAGUGGCGCACGGGUGAGUAACACGUGAAUUAUCUACCUCCGAGUGGGGAAUAACUGAGAGAAAUCUUAGCUAAUACCGCAUAACACUUACGAGUCAAAGCAGCAAUGCGCUUGGAGAGGAGUUCGCGGCCGAUUAGUUAGUUGGCGGGGUAAUGGCCCACCAAGACGAUGAUCGGUAUCCGGCCUGAGAGGGCGCACGGACACACUGGAACUGAAACACGGUCCAGACUCCUACGGAGGCAGCAGUGGGGAAUUUUGCGCAAUGGGGGAAACCCUGACGCAGCAACGCCGCGUGGAGGAUGAAAUAUCUUGGUAUGUAAACUCCUUUCGAUCGGGACGAUUAUGACGGUACCGGAAGAAGAAGCCCGGCUAACUUCGUGCCAGCAGCCGC
RNAcentral lists this ribosomal RNA (458 nucleotides) under uncultured bacterium. RNAcentral describes it as "SSU rRNA". It matches the Rfam family "Bacterial small subunit ribosomal RNA", at positions 26 to 518 of the family's 1533-position model. The record is from RNAcentral.